UGACGCUGGCGGCAGGCCUAACACAUGCAAGUCGAGCGAGAAAGCACUUCGGUGUGAGUACAGCGGCGGACGGGUGAGUAACGCGUAGGAAUCUACCCAGUAGUGGGGGGCAACAGUUGGAAACAGCUGCUAAUACCGCAUACGCCCUACGGGGGAAAGCGGGGGAUCUUCGGACCUCGCGCUAUUGGAUGAGCCUGCGUCGGAUUAGCUUGUUGGUGGGGUAAAAGCCUACCAAGGCGACGAUCCGUAGCUGGUCUGAGAGGAUGAUCAGCCACACUGGGACUGAGACACGGCCCAGACUCCUACGGGAGGCAGCAGUGGGGAAUAUUGCGCAAUGGGGGCAACCCUGACGCAGCCAUGCCGCGUGUGUGAAGAAGGCCCUAGGGUUGUAAAGCACUUUCAAAAGCGAGGAAAAGCUCAUGCCUAAUACGUAUGAGCCCUGACGUUAACUUUAGAAGAAGCACCGGCUAACUCCGUGCCAGCAGCCGCGGUAAU
RNAcentral lists this ribosomal RNA (495 nucleotides) under uncultured bacterium. RNAcentral's name for it is "bacterial SSU rRNA". It matches the Rfam family "Bacterial small subunit ribosomal RNA", at positions 33 to 524 of the family's 1533-position model. The record is from RNAcentral.